AACAUUCCUCCUCCGGUCGAGUCGAAUUCCGUUGAGGAGAAAACCGUCCACCGGAAACUUCGCCGGGAACGGAAAUCUAAGGUGUACCAGAAUAAUGAAGUGGAAGAUAAUGACGUCCCUCUGUCUCACCUGGAUUAUAUUAAAAAAAGGAGGUGAAUUACCAGAAUAAUGAAAGGGAAAAUAAUGACGUAACUAUGUCUCACCUGGAUUAUAGACAAAAUCACUCUUAUUUCUAUUCAUGGAAACAAACAAGAUCUUACUUAUAUUAGAAAAGCACAUAUCCAAAAGAACGAACGAGAAUGAGUUUUGCUAUAAUUCUAUUGCCUUCUCAAUGGUUUCGCUUUAUCGACAUUAUGUUGGUUUGAUUCUUGGCUUGAUAUCAUGUAAUAUUUGAUGCUUUAAUUAAUGGGUUAUUUAGUCUUUGAUUUAUUACGUUUUUUUUUGUGUUUUUUAGAAUUUAUGCUACAUGUUGUUAUACCUUUUACGGAAAAGGGUCAGAAAUGCCCAUAACGUAUUGACGCCAGGUUAAAAAUGCCCUCCGUUAACCUAUUUUGAA
Molecule: long non-coding RNA, 556 nt
Filed under: Nicotiana benthamiana
Lineage: Eukaryota; Viridiplantae; Streptophyta; Magnoliopsida; Solanales; Solanaceae
Description: long non-coding RNA (NBEN_LNC027879)
Source: RNAcentral